Otolemur garnettii (small-eared galago) is the source of this 321-nucleotide long non-coding RNA. RefSeq lists it as uncharacterized. The record is from RefSeq and is a predicted model, not a curated record. The transcript is spliced from 3 exons. NCBI's taxonomy places the organism in Eukaryota, Metazoa, Chordata, Mammalia, Primates, Galagidae.
CCUGUCACUGCAGCCUAGCGGCCUGAGCUCCUUACCUGGGGCUGGGACCCUGGCGCUGAGGGCGCAGAUGUGAGCCGUGGUGGAGCCACCCUCGUGGUCAGAAACUGAGCUGGGACAUAGCUGGACACCCAGAAGCAACUUUUCCUGGGGACUGAUCAAGAGGAAGGGAGGCUCAGAAACAGCCCUGAGGCUCUUUGGGGCUUAAGCCCUAAACCACACCUGCUGUUCCAGGUGGCACACAGAAAAAUAAGAAGGGGACCUGGAGUCAGCCGCCUACCCCCACCCUGGCUCAGAUCCCGACUUCACUGUUACCAGCUCCCU